RNAcentral lists this ribosomal RNA (273 nucleotides) under uncultured Staphylococcus sp. RNAcentral describes it as "partial 16S ribosomal RNA". It matches the Rfam family "Bacterial small subunit ribosomal RNA", at positions 89 to 354 of the family's 1533-position model. Lineage: Bacteria; Bacillati; Bacillota; Bacilli; Caryophanales; Staphylococcaceae. The record is from RNAcentral.
ACGUUAGCGGCGGACGGGUGAGUAACACGUGGGUAACCUACCUAUAAGACUGGGAUAACUUCGGGAAACCGGAGCUAAUACCGGAUAAUAUUUCGAACCGCAUGGUUCGAUAGUGAAAGAUGGUUUUGCUAUCACUUAUAGAUGGACCCGCGCCGUAUUAGCUAGUUGGUAAGGUAACGGCUUACCAAGGCGACGAUACGUAGCCGACCUGAGAGGGUGAUCGGCCACACUGGAACUGAGACACGGUCCAGACUCCUACGGGAGGCAGCAGAC